GGAUUUAUUCCCAUUGCAGUUAAAGCAAAAACUAAAAGAUCGCAAGAUCCCAGAAUUUACACACUACAUGAUCGUAACUCGUAAGCAACAUAUUCACAGAAGAAAAUUCAAAGACAACUUCUUCAAACUCUACUCUACAUUCCCGCAACCGCUUUCUUAGCCCUCUUCGCAGCAGGGGCCUUAAUUGAUUUCGGCUGUUUUGGCUUCGCCGGAGUUGAUCUUUUCGGUUUCUUUGCAACAACCUUCUUCGCCGCCUCGUCCUUCUUCACCGCCUUCCUCUUCCUUCCGGUAGUUCUCGUCGUUCUUGCUUGUUUAGUUUUCUUCUCUGCGUUCGCUUUUGCCACCUUCGUUGCGUCCUUGUCCUUUUUCUUUCCCGUUUCGGACAGCUUAUACGAUGCCUUGAUCUUCGUUAAUUUUCCUUUAGCGGUGGAAUUCUUCAAUUGAAGAGCCAAGAUUUUCCUGAAAUUCGCAGGAAGAACCGCCUUGUGUUUCUCCUCCAUGUAUUUGGCUAUAGCGUACGGACUCGAUCCAUUCUUCUCGUUGAGCGACGAGAUUGCUUCAUUAAUCAUCUGAAAGUACGGUGGAUGUGAAGCAACUUUAGACUGCCUAGGCUUCUUCUCCCUCGGAGCCCUAGGUUUCUUCUCCUUCACCGGCGGCUUCUCAGCCUCCUUCGGCUCCUCUGCAGCCGGAACCUCCACAGGAGGAACAUCCUCCGCCGGAACUUUAACUUCAGCCUCUCCGGUUGACGACAUGAUCAAAAUUUUCAC
This 767-nucleotide unclassified non-coding RNA is filed under the name Hevea brasiliensis (rubber tree). The record is from RNAcentral. Lineage: Eukaryota; Viridiplantae; Streptophyta; Magnoliopsida; Malpighiales; Euphorbiaceae.